AGAAGAUAUUAAGGGCGCACGGCGGAUGCCUUGGCACAGGAAGUCGAAGAAGGACGCGGCAAGCUGCGAUAAGCUUCGGGGAGGCGCAAACGGCCCUCGAUCCGAAGAUCUCCGAAUGGGGGAACCCAGCUGGGGUCAUGCCCAGCUACCCGCAUCUGAAUGAAAUAGGAUGCGAGGAGGCAACCCGGGGAACUGAAACAUCUAAGUACCCGGAGGAAGAGAAAUCAACCGAGAUUGCGCGAGUAGCGGCGAGCGAAAGCGCACCAGCCCAAACCCAUGCACGUGUAAGCGUAAGGGCGUUGCUGCAUGAGGUGUUGUGGGACC
RNAcentral lists this ribosomal RNA (324 nucleotides) under Eggerthella sinensis. RNAcentral describes it as "bacterial LSU rRNA". It matches the Rfam family "Bacterial large subunit ribosomal RNA", at positions 1 to 307 of the family's 2925-position model. Lineage: Bacteria; Bacillati; Actinomycetota; Coriobacteriia; Eggerthellales; Eggerthellaceae. The record is from RNAcentral.